GUUUCUUGACGCUGGCCAGUCCGCCUGGCAGAGAGCACGGCUCAGAGCUCUCCAUGACCUUGAAACACAAAACAAAAUGUCUAUUGAUGGCUCCAAUGACAAGAUGAGAAAUUAUGCCAUAAAGCAUGCACGUCGUUCUCAUCAAUCACGGUUUUCAAUGUUGGAUCACCCAAGCCAUCACCACUACCAGCUCCGAGACGAGGGGAUGUGGAGACAGAGGGAUCACAUACUCGUUUGUCAUGAUAGACAUCAGCGGAGAAGAUGGACGAUGAACAUUUCAGAACACCUCCAAGUAUCUAGAAGCGCAGGGGUUGGCGGCUUUCUAGGCUAUCGUGCAUUACCAUGACGUGAAGUAUCCACAAUACCGAGAGCAAUAAAAGAAGACUUAUUUUAAACCAAGGCCCGUUAGUUUCAUAUUUCAGGGAGAGAGAGAGAGUGUGAGGUGCCCAGGAAGAGUGACUUCCUAAAAUGCAAAGCCAUAGCAAUCUUUAUAUCGGUCACUUAUAUAUCAUUCAGAUUUCUACUUCUCUAAUAAGAUUAACUGCCACAGUUCUGACUUUUUAUAAUAGGAAUAGGAAGUAGUGUAGAUUGAUUGCCUUUUGGUUAUUUUGAUAAAUUACUUCUCUGGUUUUGGUUCACUUUGUCAGAACUAGCAGUAUUAGACAUUUGCUAAAUGUUUGAUUAAACGGUGUAAGCAUUAUAUCAGCAGGCCUGUAAUAUUCUAGACUCUAGUCUAUGGAAUGCAGCAGUAGCUUACGGGCUAAAUUCAGAAAGCCCGGUCUUUGGGACUCUAUUCUAAGACGCUCAUGGGGUGACACUCACUGCCACGCAGCAACUACAAUGCACAUUCGAAAAAAGACAUGUAUCACUCAUCUUAUUUUACACUUUUCUUCACAUUGUCCAUAUAAUUGUUCAUAUAACUUUACAUUUUUGAAGCCAACUGCCACUACUCAGUUAAACUGUAGUGAACUGUUAUUGUUAAAUGAAAAGCAUAAUGGGUUUUGAAUUGCUAAAAUCUUAGUCACCUUAGAGUUCUUGUCUUGCUGAAAUAGCCAGCUAAACAAGUAUAACAGGUAUCGGACAAUCUGAAAGUCUUCGGUUAGCAAAAGAACCCUUUUGUUACUUUAUGUUUAUAUAAAUGAUACUCAUUAAUAUUCAUUUUGCUCAACUCCAUUAUGAUGUAACAAUAUGCCAUGUGUCAUCUUCAUGCAAUUUUAAUGAGCGCUCUCGAACACGUGCGCGCCUUAUGCGCUUUAAACCUGGAAAUGUGUACUUAUUAAUUUCAACUCAACUUAAUUUUAAAAGGCUCAAAAUCAAUACUUUUAUGAGAUUAUUGUCAAAUUAUGAAUUAAUCAGUAGUGCUGAUUAUUUCAUAAAAACUUGGUUAGGUUAUAAACCAUGCAUCUUCCAAAUGACACUUCCUCUCUAGUCCUCUCAGACUUUGACAUCAGAAACCACUUCUGUUGAA
Long non-coding RNA from Sinocyclocheilus rhinocerous, 1468 nucleotides. RefSeq lists it as uncharacterized. The transcript is spliced from 3 exons. NCBI's taxonomy places the organism in Eukaryota, Metazoa, Chordata, Actinopteri, Cypriniformes, Cyprinidae. The record is from RefSeq and is a predicted model, not a curated record.